This 253-nucleotide ribosomal RNA is filed under the name uncultured bacterium. RNAcentral describes it as "partial 16S ribosomal RNA". It matches the Rfam family "Bacterial small subunit ribosomal RNA", at positions 524 to 776 of the family's 1533-position model. The record is from RNAcentral.
UACGUAGGGUGCGAGCGUUAAUCGGAAUUACUGGGCGUAAAGCGUGCGUAGGCGGUUGGCAAAGUCAGCUGUGAAAGCCCCGGGCUCAACCUGGGAAUGGCGGUUGAAACUAGUCGACUCGAAUCUGGCAGAGGGGGGUGGAAUUCCACGUGUAGCAGUGAAAUGCGUAGAGAUGUGGAGGAAUACCGAUGGCGAAGGCAGCCCCCUGGGCCAAUACUGACGCUCAUGCACGAAAGCGUGGGGAGCAAACAGG